CGUGUCGUCAUGCACAACAGCUUCUGGAUUUUAGGGGCAGCUGCUGUGACUGAGAAGUGAGCAAAUGCUGGAAAUAGCCAUUCUGUUGUCUUGGAAGUCUUUGUGUCUUCAUUCUGAAAAGCUGGAUCUCUGUGUGCAGCGAUAUCUUGAAUAAGGAGCUGUAUAGAAAGAUUAUCAAAGCAAUUGUAAUGGUUAUGGCUUCUCCAUUCUCCAGAAAUAUAUGGAGGUAUAGACACACAGUGCUAUUACCUUGGGAAAACUAUUAGAGGUUGCUUCAUGCAACGAUAAGGACUUUUAUUCAUCGAGAGUAAUUACCUCUAUCUUCAUAAGAAGUGAGAAGAUGACAGUAAGAAUUACUGUGUCACACAGAGAGGUGAUGAUGGCAGGAGCGUCACUGCCUCAGCUGGAGUGAGAGCUCCAGAAUUAUUGUGGACAUAUCCCAAGGUUUCAAAUAGCAAGAACCCUGGUAGUUCUACCUGGCAUUGCCAUUCCAUUGGAAUCCCAGAAGCUGCUCUGCCAUCUGUCCAUAUGCUGAAUAUCAUCAGCCUGUUAUAAGCAUGAGUCAAAGUGGAGGUGAGAAGGUGGUCUGUUCGUUGGCCCAGGCUUCUUCAAGAGUGCUCUAAGGCAACACAUCUUCCCAUUGCAGUGCAGUGUUGUACCAAGGGACGAGACAUUGGAGCAAGAUGCAGUAGAGAGCUGCAGGUCUGUGACACAAUCUCUGUCAUUCAUUCUGAGAUAUGCCUGGCUACAAAGAAGGAACGAAGAAAGAAGUGCAUCUGGGCUUGUAUCCAAUUGGAUUACUGUCAACCUCUUCCAGCUGAGAAGGGAAAAGACAGAUGUAUUGAUGGUCACCGAAAUGAGAUGGAACAAAAGACAACAACCUGAGCAGAGAAGAAAAGAUGAUCACAUGGACCAGGAGCUAACUGGACACACAGACACUAACUGGAGAACCUGGGAACUGCA
Long non-coding RNA from Lagopus leucura (white-tailed ptarmigan), 963 nucleotides. RefSeq lists it as uncharacterized. The record is from RefSeq and is a predicted model, not a curated record. Lineage: Eukaryota; Metazoa; Chordata; Aves; Galliformes; Phasianidae. The transcript has 6 exons.